Molecule: ribosomal RNA, 394 nt
Filed under: Vibrio sp. S512-13
Lineage: Bacteria; Pseudomonadati; Pseudomonadota; Gammaproteobacteria; Vibrionales; Vibrionaceae
Description: bacterial LSU rRNA
Rfam family: Bacterial large subunit ribosomal RNA
Source: RNAcentral
AACCCGUGUGAGGAGAGUGAAAUAGAACCUGAAACCGUGUACGGACAAGCAGUAGGAACAAGCUUGUCCUGUGAAUACGUACCAUUUGUAUAAUGGGUCAGCGGCUUAUAUUCAGUGUCAAGGUUAACCAUCUAGGGGAGCCGUAGGGAAACCGAGUCGUAACUGGGCAUUCAGUCUCUGGAUAUAGACCCGAAGCCAGGUGAUCUAGCCAUGGGCAGGUUGAAGGUUGAGUAACAUCAACUGGAGGACCGAACCGACUAAUUUUGAAAAAUUAGCGGAUGACUUGUGGCUAGUGGUGAAAGGCCAAUCAAACCUGGAGAUAGCUAGUUCUCCCCGAAAGCUAUUUAGGUAGCGCCUCGGACGAAUACUACUGGGGGUAGAGCACUGUUAAGGC